GACGAACGCUGGCGGCGUGCUUAACACAUGCAAGUCGAACGGCAAGGCCCUGCUUUUGUGGUGUUCUCGAGUGCCGAACGGGUGAGUAACACGUGAGUAACCUGCUCUUCACUUUGGUAUAACUUCAGGAAACUGGGCCUACUACCGUAUCGCAUCUCCUGCUGCAUUGUGGGGGUUGGAACUUUUCGGCGGUAGGGGUUGGACCCGCGGCUUAUCAGUUUGCUGGUGGGGUAGUGGCUUACCAAGGCUUUGACGGAUAGCCGGCCUGAGAGGGGGACCGGGCACAUUGGGACUGAGAGACGGACCAGACUGAUACGGGAGGCAGAAGGGGGGAAUAUGGCACAGUGGGAGGGAGCGUGAGGCAGAAACGCCGCGUGCGGGAUGACGGCCUGCGGGGUGUAAAAAGCUGUAGGCUGUGACGAAGCGUGAGUGACGGUAAUGGGUAAAGAAGCACCGGCUAACUACGUG
Molecule: ribosomal RNA, 468 nt
Filed under: uncultured bacterium
Lineage: Bacteria
Description: partial 16S ribosomal RNA
Rfam family: Bacterial small subunit ribosomal RNA
Source: RNAcentral